Non-coding RNA from Gymnothorax javanicus (giant moray), 71 nucleotides. The record is from the annotation of a GenBank genome assembly. NCBI's taxonomy places the organism in Eukaryota, Metazoa, Chordata, Actinopteri, Anguilliformes, Muraenidae.
GGCUCUUUGGCGAUGUGGUCAGCGCGUUUGACUCUUACCCGGGAGUAGGGUUCAAUUCCCUGCCUGGGCCC